UCCUGAAGGGACGUUGAAGACGACGACGUUGAUAGGCCGGGUGUGUAAGCGCAGCGAUGCGUUGAGCUAACCGGUACUAAUGACCCGUGAGGCUUAACCUUACAACGCCAGAGGCGUUUUG
RNAcentral lists this ribosomal RNA (121 nucleotides) under Pantoea piersonii. RNAcentral describes it as "partial 23S ribosomal RNA". The stretch from base 1 to 101 matches the Rfam family "Bacterial large subunit ribosomal RNA", at positions 2825 to 2925 of the family's 2925-position model. Lineage: Bacteria; Pseudomonadati; Pseudomonadota; Gammaproteobacteria; Enterobacterales; Erwiniaceae. The record is from RNAcentral.